UACGGGGGGGGCAAGCGUUGUUCGGAAUUACUGGGCGUAAAGGGCUCGUAGGCGGCCAACUAAGUCAGACGUGAAAUCCCUCGGCUUAACCGGGGAACUGCGUCUGAUACUGGAUGGCUUGAGUUUGGGAGAGGGAUGCGGAAUUCCAGGUGUAGCGGUGAAAUGCGUAGAUAUCUGGAGGAACACCGGUGGCGAAGGCGGCAUCCUGGACCAACACUGACGCUGAUGAGCGAAAGCCAGGGGAGCAAAACGGGG
Molecule: ribosomal RNA, 255 nt
Filed under: uncultured bacterium
Lineage: Bacteria
Description: partial 16S ribosomal RNA
Rfam family: Bacterial small subunit ribosomal RNA
Source: RNAcentral